RNAcentral lists this ribosomal RNA (329 nucleotides) under uncultured bacterium. Its description in RNAcentral is "bacterial SSU rRNA". It matches the Rfam family "Bacterial small subunit ribosomal RNA", at positions 8 to 334 of the family's 1533-position model. The record is from RNAcentral.
AGGGUUUGAUCCUGGCUCAGGACGAACGCUGGCGGCGCGCCUAACACAUGCAAGUCGAACGAGAGAUGAGGAGCUUGCUCUUCAAAUCGAGUGGCGAACGGGUGAGUAACGCGUGAGGAACCUGCCUCAAAGAGGGGGACAACAGUUGGAAACGACUGCUAAUACCGCAUAAGCGCAUAGCAUCGCAUGAUGCAGUGUGAAAAACUCCGGUGGUAUAAGAUGGACCCGCGUUGGAUUAGCUAGUUGGUGAGGUAACGGCCCACCAAGGCGACGAUCCAUAGCCGACCUGAGAGGGUGACCGGCCACAUUGGGACUGAGACACGGCCCAA